GGGCAGGUGGUGGAAUGGUAUACACGCGGCACUUAAAAUGCCGUGCCGCAAGGCUUGUGGGUUCGAGUCCCACUCUGCCCACCA
Molecule: transfer RNA, 84 nt
Filed under: Patescibacteria group bacterium
Lineage: Bacteria
Description: tRNA-Leu
Rfam family: tRNA
About the family: Transfer RNA (tRNA) molecules are approximately 80 nucleotides in length. Their secondary structure includes four short double-helical elements and three loops (D, anti-codon, and T loops). Further hydrogen bonds mediate the characteristic L-shaped molecular structure. tRNAs have two regions of fundamental functional importance: the anti-codon, which is responsible for specific mRNA codon recognition, and the 3' end, to which the tRNAs corresponding amino acid is attached (by aminoacyl-tRNA synthetases). tRNAs cope with the degeneracy of the genetic code in two manners: having more than one tRNA (with a specific anti-codon) for a particular amino acid; and 'wobble' base-pairing, i.e. permitting non-standard base-pairing at the 3rd anti-codon position.
Source: RNAcentral